Molecule: ribosomal RNA, 460 nt
Filed under: uncultured bacterium
Lineage: Bacteria
Description: partial 16S ribosomal RNA
Rfam family: Bacterial small subunit ribosomal RNA
Source: RNAcentral
CCUACGGGAGGCAGCAGUGAGGAAUAUUGGUCAAUGGGCGUAAGCCUGAACCAGCCAAGUCGCGUGAGGGAUGAAGGUUCUAUGGAUCGUAAACCUCUUUUAUAAGGGAAUAAAGUGCGGGACGUGUCCCGUUUUGUAUGUACCUUAUGAAUAAGGAUCGGCUAACUCCGUGCCAGCAGCCGCGGUAAUACGGAGGAUCCGAGCGUUAUCCGGAUUUAUUGGGUUUAAAGGGGGCGCAGGCGGCCUUUUAAGUCAGCGGUGAAAGUCUGUGGCUCAACCAUAGAAUUGCCGUUGAAACUGGGAGGCUUGAGGAUGUUUGAGGCAGGCGGAAUGCGUGGUGUAGCGGUGAAAUGCUUAGAUAUCACGCAGAACCCCGAUUGCGAAGGCAGCGUUCUGGAGUGAAACUGACGCUGAGGCACGAAAGCGUGGGGAGCGAACAGGAUUAGAUACCCCAGUAGUC